Molecule: long non-coding RNA, 648 nt
Organism: Trichomycterus rosablanca
Lineage: Eukaryota; Metazoa; Chordata; Actinopteri; Siluriformes; Trichomycteridae
Exons: 4
Source: RefSeq, a predicted model, not a curated record
GGUGGAUGCAAUAAUGUACAACCUUAGGACAAAACCAGUAAGUAAGAAAGGAUACAGUUUUGCAGCUCGUACUGCUCCUCGUUUUCUCCCCCCUCUCCAGACAGUGACCCCCUCACCCCAGAAAUACCAGCAGGACUGGAGUGUAUCACAGGAGUGCUCUCCAGGAAAAGCUCCAUUUAAUUCCACCUCAAGAGGUUUGGCUCCACGUCUGCUUCUGUCAGCUGCAGCCCUGGGUUCAUCCUGUCUGCAAUCAAAUACAAGUCAAAGUAAAUAUACCAAUACGUACAGGGAGGAAUGGGCCAGGGAAAUUGGUACUUCAAUAACAGAGGCUCCAUGUCUCAGAAGAUGGCUAUCUGAGAUGACCAGGUUUGCUCAACUAGGACGACGGUUGAGGUGCUCCAGUGCAAUUGCACUGGGGCGAUCUCUUUCUGUUUGAAAGGUAUUUUUGGAUGCACUUAAGAGGCCAUAAUCUUAUUUUAUUUGUUUAUUUUUCUUUUUUAAUCUAAUUCUUGUUUUUAUCAUUUAUUUAUUUAUUUAUAUAUAUAUUUUAUUUAUCUAUUUUCCAUUUUCUAAAUGCAUUAUCUAUGUACUGUGGAUUUUUUUUGUUCAUUGUUGAUCUUUGAUGUUUGUUGUUUGAAAACUUAAAUA